AUCGCUUCUCGGCCUUUUGGCUAAGAUCAAGUGUACUAUGAAUUAGCACAAAUAUGGUUUAUAGGCUACAUGUGUGUUUUGUUUUUCCUGAUGAUUGUUAACUAGGGACACCUGUAUGACAGAGCCAAA
This 129-nucleotide small RNA is filed under the name Marmota monax (woodchuck). Lineage: Eukaryota; Metazoa; Chordata; Mammalia; Rodentia; Sciuridae. The record is from RNAcentral.